Molecule: long non-coding RNA, 3469 nt
Filed under: Mus musculus (house mouse)
Lineage: Eukaryota; Metazoa; Chordata; Mammalia; Rodentia; Muridae
Description: Zmiz1 opposite strand 1
Source: RNAcentral
ACUCUUAGCACUGCCAGCCCAAGAAGCUGCAGUUCCCGGGGGAGACGUUGACCGAGGUCUCGGCAUCGAAGCAGAGAUCUGGCCGCCGGGCCUUCCAGGGCUCCCGGGUCGGGUGCCGGGAUGCCCGGCUCCUUGAGCCCGGGCUGUGGGAGAGGCCCUUCACCCUGCUCCGGGCUGGAGGCACAAGGUGGAACUGUAAACCAGAGAAAGGAAAAGUUUUCGGCAGGUAGAGGGAAGGGCAGAGUAGCCGCGGCGAUCCGCUGUCCCCGGGGGAGGGUGGGGGGCCCAAGCCCGCAGUCCUGGCGCGCUCCUGUCCGCUAGCCCUCCCGCCCGGGUUGUUUACAUUCCUGGAGUGUCUUUUAAACCGGAGGCUGUGGCCGGCUCCUGGCCUUCUCCCGCGGCUUCGGGGCAGUCUCCCGUGAAAAUCUGCUGGCGCACAAUGGCCGGGAGAGGAGGCCGCCCCUCUCCCGCGCCCCCACCGCUCCAGGGCGGGGAGCCUGCCCUCUGCACCGCGCCCUCUCCCCGCCUGGCCAGCUUCCUGGACAGAUGUCUCCGGCCAGGGGGCGACGCGCUCCCGCAGCCUGCACCGCGACACCGAGGCCGUGCUCCCCACUGUUUUCUCCCUGGCCCUGACGCCAGGAAUGUGAAACAAGCUUUCUGAGCUUCCCUCCCACAAUCCGGACCGAGCUUCAGCUCCGGCCCGGCCCCUCAAUCUCCUCCCGGGUCGGCCUCCCACUCCCCCGGGGCCACCGCCGCCGGAGACAGAGAGGAAGAAAGAACACGGGGAAAUUACUUUCGUAUUUGCAACGCGCGCGCACACACACACAGACACAUCUUCCCCUUGGGCUCGCCUCCCGACUGGGGCAGCCCCGGCCAGGCGUUGGCCUGAAAGCCCCUUCGGCUUCCGAAGCCCGAACGAGAAGCCUCGACACAUCUCUUCAACGUGUCCUGCUUCAGCCACGCGCCGCGUUUCCCUGGGCUAUUCUCCCCCCAAAACAACUUAACCGCGCCCCCAUCUCCCAUGUACAAAAGUGUGUUCUCCAUAGAAAUUCGGAGGCACAACUUAACACCACCAACCCUUGCCACCCUAGAAUCCAGCGCCUUCCCGGAGGUUCUCCUACGCACACAGGAGCACAACUUCACAUCUUUCCAAAAGAGGCAAGGGAGAAGCAGCCAGUCCUUCCCGGGUCCUCUCCUCCCUCCUCCGAAUCCGUAUCCCGGCUGGCUCCCGACUGAUCGGAGCGACGGCUGGGAGGCGCGCCGGCAGGAGGCGGGCACCGAGUCCGAGCGCACAACCGCACCGGCGCCCCGUACACCCGAAGAACCCCGGGUCCCCGCGCUCAUCCGGAGCCGCUCUACACAAGCUGGGCGCUCGCUGGUGGCCAGAGCCUCCGCCCCCGGCGGCCAGAGCAGCGGGCCGAGCCUGCACGGCUGGCUUCUUUCGCCCGGCCAGAGCUAAACCUUUAAGAGGAAAGCCCUAGUAUAGUACACGGCGCUCGCACCCCGAUGAUCCGCCGGGAGCGGGUGGAAGCCUCGGUGUUAACGGGCGCUUGGCUCUGUCCCCAAACUUACCGGGCGCUGCGAGCACCACUGCCACCGCUGGAGGACGCGCCGCCGCCACCGCCGUGUAGGGCAGGCUGGAGCCGGGAGGAGCGCAGCGAGAGCGCGGAAAUCCACUCGGCUCCGACUCCGGCUCCGGCUCCUCACCGGCCGGGGCUAGGGUCAGCGCGCUGCGCGGGCGCUGCUCGCUUGCUCUGCAGCCGGAUCGCUGCUCGCCCGGCCGGCAGCUUGCUCUCCCGGGCGCCCGCCGCCGCCGCCGCUCGCUUUUUUAAUGUCCACAGACAGUGAAAAGGAACUCGGCGUUAGGGGGCAGCCACGGUGUCGGAGGCGAGGCGAGGAAGGGAGCUGGAAUAACAAAGGGCCAGAGAGAUCACUCCUUCCAUCACCAAGACAAGAAGGCAAAAUGCGUUUGCUCGCUUUGAAUCCAUUCUCAAAGCUGUGACUGUCUGGCAGCUGAGAACUCAGCCUGGAAUUCCUGAGGGUAGACUGCAGCUCAGGUCCACAGGGACAUUGGGCAAGGGUAUCUGGGUGCGGGGGGGGGGGGGGGAAGCUACCUUUCUGGAGGCAAAUUCUGACUCCUGCUGCUUUCGGGUGCAAGUGGGGGUGGGGUGGGGGCGGUGCUCAUUUCUGGCCUCAGUCCUCGGACCUGUCACAAGAGAUGAACUGUUAGCAACUUGCUCCACCACCCACCCACAGGUGGCAGCUGAGUAUCCCCGGGGAAAGUGGGUGGCAUGAAAUCACUUCCAGACCUCUAGGGACACUGGAAUGGCCUGGUCCCAGUACAUUUACAACAACAAGAAGAAUACCUCCCCCGACUCCACCCCAGCUUGUGGAUGGCCCGGGUUGGGCAGGGCAGUCUGAGAAAUCCUGGAAAGCUGGACUUGAAAGAUGAGAAAUCAGUUUGCUGAAGAAGCCACAGGCAUCCUGCUCUCAGGCACAGCAUCAGCACACCCAGGAGGCCACCACCGUCCUCAGCACCAAAGCCCCUGUCAGCCUUAAGAUGCAAGAAUAGACCCAAACAACAGCAGGGCCAGCUCCCGUUCCCUUGAUGACCACCAAGUCAGGGCACUCAGCUCUGUGGGUCUUUCUCCAAAUUUGUAAGUAACCUGAGCUAGUCACCUCUAAGAAGUGGAGAAAAUGGUGACCUAUGGUGAACAUUCAUGUUCAAAAGCUCCUGCCCAGAAGAAGGCCUGUCCCAUCCCCUUUCUUUAAAAAAUUACAUCUCGUUUAUUUAUUUAUUUGAGGGGAGGGACACACAUGAAGAUCAGAGGACAACUUUGAGGAAUCAUUUCUCUUUUUCCACCAAUGUAGGUCCUAGGGAUUGAACUUGGAUCCUCAGUCUUGAUAGGGUGUACCAAUGGUGAGCCAUCUUGCUGGUACCCAACCCCUUAUUUCUAGCCUACAUGUACACCUGGAAAUCCAGAAGUAGCUGCAGAGGCUGGAGGAGUCUAGCAGGACAGAGCCCAUGUUGCUUUCAGCCUUCCCCGCCCACCAAGCAUGACAGCUUGAGGGCAGUAAAUCUAAGAACUCACACCCAGGCCUCUUCUGAGGGCCCACACCUGAAGCACUGGGAUUCCCAGGCCCUCCUUAUCUCUGUUUCUCUGCUCAAGGGGUUACUGGGCCAGCUGGCCCCCUCUGGAGUCCUAGAAGGGAUGGUUUAUUUAGUGCCUACUGUGUGCUGAGUGAGGACAUCAUGACAUUCACUUACUGCCUGCAGUUAGGGACACUACUGUCCCCUCCAGAGGAAAGUGAACUGUCAAUCUUGUCCACAUGCUGCUCAGACUCUCAUUAACGAGGCAUCUUGUUAGCCAGCCACUCUGCAUUCUUAUCCAGAAAUUCUGUGUAGCCCUGGGCAAGUUGUUCUCCCUUUCUGAGCCCUCUGUAAACUAAAGGCUAAGUCUCAUAACAC